This 497-nucleotide ribosomal RNA is filed under the name uncultured bacterium. RNAcentral's name for it is "partial 16S ribosomal RNA". It matches the Rfam family "Bacterial small subunit ribosomal RNA", at positions 28 to 507 of the family's 1533-position model. The record is from RNAcentral.
GAUGAACGCUGGCGGCGUGCCUAAUACAUGCAAGUCGAGCGAACGGACGAGAAGCUUGCUUCUCUGAUGUUAGCGGCGGACGGGUGAGUAACACGUGGAUAACCUACCUAUAAGACUGGGAUAACUUCGGGAAACCGUAGCUAAUACCGGAUAAUAUUUUGAACCGCAUGGUUCAAAAGUGAAAGACGGUCUUGCUGUCACUUAUAGAUGGAUCCGCGCUGCAUUAGCUAGUUGGUAAGGUAACGGCUUACCAAGGCAACGAUGCAUAGCCGACCUGAGAGGGUGAUCGGCCACACGGGAACGGAGACACGGUCCAGACUCCUACGGGAGGCAGCAGUAGGGAAUGUGCCGCAAUGGGCGAAAGCCUGACGGAGCAACGCCGCGUGAGUGAUGAAGGUCUUCGGAUCGUAAAACUCUGUUAUGAGGGAAGAACAUAUGUGUAAGUAACUGUGCACAUCUUGACGGUACCUAAUCAGAAAGCCACGGCUAACUACGUG